AAUGAGUCUUAUAUUAAUAUUACAAAACAUAACUUCAACAUUGAAAAUUACAAAUAAAAGUGAAUAUAGAACUACUUGCAUCAAAUCUUUUAACACCUGUACUUAUGUUUUCGUGUUUCCAAAAACAGUACAUGUCCUCAGAAUUUUACUUCAAAUUCUACAUUUUACCUUCUAAACUACUCCUGUUCGUCUGAUAACUAUACACAAGUAACAUAGAUUCUUGGUGAUCUAAAGAAGACUGCUGUAUACGAUGAAAAGUGCAGCCUCACCCUCCUCCCCAGAUCACACAUGGAUUAUGAAAUAUUCAAAUACCAAAUUUUAUGAAGCUUCCAAGAUAAGUGGGCAGGAUAUAUUAACAUUCGUCUCGGGGAGUUCCUGGGAAGUAGUGCAAGGAACAACUAAAAUGCAAUCUCUUGAAGAAUUUGAAGUGUGUUCUGAUGAACCCAUUCAAGAUGCUGUGCUGUAACUCCAGAGACAUUUCCUCCAUAUAUGCCACCUAACACCUUAGAAACUGUUUCAAGAAACAUGCCAGGACGCACAGGUGAUGGUUUUCGCCCACUUACACUUGCCCUUCCUGCAAUUCCACCAGCAGCACCAACUUCAUCAUUCGAACUGUCUGCACCUUCUUCUUUACCAAGCAUCACGUUUUUUAUCAUGUCGCGUACUGCUUUCCCUGGUCUUAGGGAAACAAGUUCAGUUAAAAAGUUCACCUCUGAUUCAGGAAGAAUAUUAAGGCCACGAUCAUUUCUUUCGUCAAGUAUUCCACCUCCCAUCAUGUUCCUAGCUUCUUCUCUGAUUAAAACUAACCUUGCUAGUAACUUCCUGUCAGGGAUAACAGAACGAGAUUCCAUCGUCUCCAGAAUAUCAUCCGCUUGGUUAGCUAUAUCAUUCAAAUUUGCCCCAGGAAGAUGGACUUUUGUCCCAUUCUCACUUUGAAAUACUCCACCACCAGCAGCAACUCGCCUGAGCAAUUCAUGUCUGCUUUCUUUUUGAGGAGUUCUACAGAGCAGGCCUAUGACUUGAACAUGAGGGGGGCACUUCUUGGUAAGAUGGGAUAAUACAGUCUCCUUGAUAACUUCCAAGAGUGAUUUGCGCUUAUCAUCCUGGUCGUUGUCAGCAGUUUGGAUCAUGUAAUCAAGGGCCAUCAUGAACCCGGACUCCAUUUCAUCAACUCUUUUCCCAAUCACUCCUUGUGCAGCCAAUUGCACUGCUACCUCCUCAGAUGCUUCAUCCAUCUUCAUAUCUUCCAAUAGCUUGGCCAUUUCUUCAAGGACGGAGGUAACUUGUUCACCACCUUUAAGAAGAACUUGAUACUGAGAAGUAUCAAAAUCUCCGACUUCAUGUCCAUGAUUUUCCAUUCUUCCAUUUUGAGCUCCGAAUUCCUCCGCCAAAGAACCUGCGCCGACCUCGUUACUCGUACAUAAUGCCGAAAGGUUCAGUCUGCAGGAUGUCUUCAGCUGCAAUGAAUACUGAUUGGGGAUUUCCGGUUGAAGAAAAUAGUAUAGUGAUGGAGUCGAGUAACGAGAUAGACUUGCAGGAGUAGCUCCACAGAAAACGAUAGGGAUGGACAGAAAUGCCAUGGAUGAAAUGACCAACGACGGAAUUACAAUCUUUUCUUUUGGGGGGUGGAAAUGGAGAUAUUGCGGGAGAGGGGUAAGAUCAUUG
This 1665-nucleotide unclassified non-coding RNA is filed under the name Hevea brasiliensis (rubber tree). The record is from RNAcentral. Lineage: Eukaryota; Viridiplantae; Streptophyta; Magnoliopsida; Malpighiales; Euphorbiaceae.